Molecule: ribosomal RNA, 175 nt
Filed under: Pterothrissus gissu (Japanese gissu)
Lineage: Eukaryota; Metazoa; Chordata; Actinopteri; Albuliformes; Albulidae
Description: partial 12S rRNA
Source: RNAcentral
CACCGCGGUUAUACGAGAGGCUCAAAUUGAUGCUCGUCGGCGUAAAGAGUGAUUACAGGAAUAUAAACAACUAAAGCCGAAUACCCCUCAGGCUGUUAUACGCAUCUGGGGAAAUGAAGCCCCAAAACGAAGGUAGCUUUAAUAUAUUGACCUCGAAUUCACGACAACUGAGACA